GUGCCAGACUCCUACGGGAGGCAGCAGUGAGGGAUAUUGGGCAAUGGGGGAAACCCUGACCCAGCGACGCCGCGUGAGGGAAGACGGUCUUCGGAUUGUAAACCUCUGUCUUUGGGGACGAAAAAGGACGGUACCCAAGGAGGAAGCACCGGCUAACUCCGUGCCAGCAGCCGCGGUAAUACGGAGGGUGCGAGCGUUAAUCGGAAUUACUGGGCGUAAAGCGCUCGUAGGCGGUAUGUCAAGUCAGGGGUGAAAUCCCCGCGCUCAACGUGGGAACUGCCUUUGAAACUGGCAAACUGGAGUGUGUGAGAGGAUAGUGGAAUUCCAGGUGUAGGAGUGAAAUCCGUAGAUAUCUGGAGGAACAUCAGUGGCGAAGGCGACUAUCUGGCACAUAACUGACGCUGAGGAGCGAAAGCGUGGGUAGCAAACAGGAUUAGAUACCCCUGUAA
RNAcentral lists this ribosomal RNA (449 nucleotides) under uncultured bacterium. RNAcentral's name for it is "bacterial SSU rRNA". It matches the Rfam family "Bacterial small subunit ribosomal RNA", at positions 328 to 793 of the family's 1533-position model. The record is from RNAcentral.